CCUACGGGCGGCUGCAGUGGGGAAUAUUGGACAAUGGGGGGAACCCUGAUCCAGUCAUGCCGCGUGUGUGAAGAAGGCCCUCGGGUUGUAAAGCACUUUCAGUGAGGAAGAACGCCUGGUGGUUAAUACCCAUCAGGAAAGACAUCACUCACAGAAGAAGCACCGGCUAACUCCGUGCCAGCAGCCGCGGUAAUACGGAGGGUGCGAGCGUUAAUCGGAAUUACUGGGCGUAAAGCGCGCGUAGGUGGCUUAAUAAGCCGGUUGUGAAAGCCCCGGGCUCAACCUGGGAACGGCAUCCGGAACUGUCAAGCUAGAGUGCAGGAGAGGAAGGUAGAAUUCCCGGUGUAGCGGUGAAAUGCGUAGAGAUCGGGAGGAAUACCAGUGGCGAAGGCGGCCUUCUGGACUGACACUGACACUGAGGUGCGAAAGCGUGGGUAGCAAACAGGAUUAGAUACCCCUGUAGUC
RNAcentral lists this ribosomal RNA (465 nucleotides) under Vreelandella stevensii. RNAcentral's name for it is "partial 16S ribosomal RNA". It matches the Rfam family "Bacterial small subunit ribosomal RNA", at positions 338 to 795 of the family's 1533-position model. Lineage: Bacteria; Pseudomonadati; Pseudomonadota; Gammaproteobacteria; Oceanospirillales; Halomonadaceae. The record is from RNAcentral.